AGAGUUUGAUCCUGGCUCAGAGCGAACGCUGGCGGCGUGCUUAACACAUGCAAGUCGAGUGCGCAGUCUGCUGUAGCAAUACAGCAGGCCGGCGCACGGCGCACGGGUGCGUAACACGUGGGCAACCUGCCCUGCAAUGGGGGAUAACCCGCCGAAAGGCGGGCUAAUACCGCAUGAUAUUCCGGUGGCUUCGGACGCCG
This 200-nucleotide ribosomal RNA is filed under the name uncultured bacterium. Its description in RNAcentral is "partial 16S ribosomal RNA". It matches the Rfam family "Bacterial small subunit ribosomal RNA", at positions 8 to 198 of the family's 1533-position model. The record is from RNAcentral.